UUUCAUGCUUGAAAUAGUUCAACAUCAUUUCAGUCUCAAAACGAAAAGCCCUAAGUUGAGACCUCAAAGUCAUAAACCCAAUUCACCCUACCAAUUUUGUCAUCACCCCACCUCCCUUGUGCCUCCACUAUCUCCACUAUCACACCGUCAAGUGCUCCCGCCGCCUCCUUGUGCCGCCUACCUCUCAACCUCGCCCUCCCCUGAUAACAAGGCCAUUAGAGACUACUCGCACCGCGACACCUCCACCACCUGCUCUAUCCAACUAUCGUUUCCCAGUGUUCCGCUUUGACCUCGACGGGGUGCGCCCACUGACCUGUGCUAUCACCAUCUUAGCCGCUAUAACUACCGUGUUGCGAUCGCCUCCCUCUCCCCCAAACCCCUUUCUACGAUCAUUAGUGAUUGGAUACCCCAGCUCUCGAAUCCUAGCGCC
RNAcentral lists this long non-coding RNA (430 nucleotides) under Sorghum bicolor (sorghum). RNAcentral describes it as "long non-coding RNA (SBIC_LNC011415)". Lineage: Eukaryota; Viridiplantae; Streptophyta; Magnoliopsida; Poales; Poaceae. The record is from RNAcentral.